This 460-nucleotide ribosomal RNA is filed under the name uncultured bacterium. RNAcentral describes it as "partial 16S ribosomal RNA". It matches the Rfam family "Bacterial small subunit ribosomal RNA", at positions 338 to 795 of the family's 1533-position model. The record is from RNAcentral.
CCUACGGGAGGCAGCAGUGAGGAAUAUUGGUCAAUGGGCGCGAGCCUGACCCAGCCAAGUAGCGUGAAGGAUGACUGCCCUACGGGUUGUAAACUUCUUUUAUAAAGGAAUAAAGUGAGGCACGUGUGCCUUUUUGUAUGUACUUUAUGAAUAAGGCUCGGCUCACUCCGUUCCAGCAGCCGCGGUAAUACUGAGGAUCCGAUCGUGAUCCGGAUUUUUUGGGUUUAAAUGGAGCGUAGAUGGGUUGUUAAGUCAGUUGUGAAAGGUUGCGGCUUAACCGUAAAAUUUCAAUUGAUACUGGCAGUCUUGAGUACAGUUGAGGUAAGCGGAAUUCGUGGUGUAGCGGUGAAAUGCGUAGAUAUCACGAAGAACUCCGAUUGCGAAGGCAGCUUACUAAACUGCCACUGACAUUGAUGCUCGAAAGUGUGGGUAUCAAACAGGAUUAGAUACCCCUGUAGUC